GUGAAAGCCCCGGGCUUAACCUGGGAACUGCAUUUGAUACUGGGUAACUAGAGUUUAGUAGAGGAGAGUGGAAUUUCAGGUGUAGCGGUGAAAUGCGUAGAGAUCUGAAGGAACACCAGUGGCGAAGGCGACUCUCUGGACUAAAACUGACGCUGAGGUACGAAAGCGUGGGUAGCAAACAGGAUUAGAUACCCUGGUAGUCCACGCCGUAAACGAUGUCAACUAGCCGUUGGGCCUAUUUACAGGCUUAGUGGCGCAGCUAACGCAUUAAGUUGACCGCCUGGGGAGUACGGCCGCAAGGUUAAAACUCAAAUGAAUUGACGGGGGCCCGCACAAGCGGUGGAGCAUGUGGUUUAAUUCGAUGCAACGCGAAGAACCUUACCUACCCUUGACAUGCAUAGAAUC
This 405-nucleotide ribosomal RNA is filed under the name uncultured Methylobacter sp. RNAcentral's name for it is "bacterial SSU rRNA". It matches the Rfam family "Bacterial small subunit ribosomal RNA", at positions 594 to 997 of the family's 1533-position model. Lineage: Bacteria; Pseudomonadati; Pseudomonadota; Gammaproteobacteria; Methylococcales; Methylococcaceae. The record is from RNAcentral.